RNAcentral lists this unclassified non-coding RNA (380 nucleotides) under uncultured Actinomycetes bacterium. Its description in RNAcentral is "uncultured actinobacterium contains 16S-23S intergenic spacer region". The record is from RNAcentral. Lineage: Bacteria; Bacillati; Actinomycetota; Actinomycetes.
UCCGGUUUGGCACCGGCAGUCUCCCCAGAGUUCCCGGCAUGACCCGCUGGCAACUGAGGACAAGGGUUGCGCUCGUUGCGGGACUUAACCCAACAUCUCACGACACGAGCUGACGACAACCAUGCACCACCUGUGAACCGGCCCCAAAGGGGAAACCACAUUUCUGCGGCGGUCCGGUCCAUGUCAAGCCUUGGUAAGGUUCUUCGCGUUGCAUCGAAUUAAUCCGCAUGCUCCGCCGCUUGAGCAGGCCCCCGUCAAUUCCUUUGAGUUUUAGCCUUGCGGCCGUACUUCCCAGGCGGGGCACUUAAUGCGUUAGCUACGGCACGGAGCCCGUCGAUCGAGCCCCACACCUAGUGCCCAACGUUUACGGCGUGGACUAC